CCUACGGGAGACAGCAGUGAGGAAUAUUGGUCAAUGGCCGGAAGGCUGAACCAGCCAUGCCGCGUGAAGGUCAGUGCCCUAUGGGCGUUAAACUUCUUUUGUGCGGGAGCAAUAAUGGUCACGUGUGGCCAGACGAGAGUACCGUACGAAUAAGCAUCGGCUAACUCCGUGCCAGCAGCCGCGGUAAUACGGGGGAUGCAAGCGUUAUCCGGAUUUAUGGGUUUUAAAGGGUGCGUAGGCUGUGAGGUAAGUCAGCGGUGAAAUGCCCCCGCUCAACGGGGUGAAGUGCCAUUGAUACUGCCUUGCUGGAAUGCGGAUGCCGUGGGAGGAAUGUGUGGUGUAGCGGUGAAAUGCAUAGAUAUCACACAGAACACCGAUUGCGAAGGCAUCUCACGAAUCCGCGAUUGACGCUGAUGCACGAAAGCGUGGGUAUCAAACAGGAUUAGAUACCCGUGUAGUC
RNAcentral lists this ribosomal RNA (460 nucleotides) under uncultured bacterium. Its description in RNAcentral is "partial 16S ribosomal RNA". It matches the Rfam family "Bacterial small subunit ribosomal RNA", at positions 338 to 795 of the family's 1533-position model. The record is from RNAcentral.